This 233-nucleotide ribosomal RNA is filed under the name uncultured bacterium. RNAcentral describes it as "partial 16S ribosomal RNA". It matches the Rfam family "Bacterial small subunit ribosomal RNA", at positions 524 to 755 of the family's 1533-position model. The record is from RNAcentral.
UACGAAGGGGGCUAGCGUUGUUCGGAUUUACUGGGCGUAAAGCGCACGUAGGCGGAUCGUUAAGUCGGGGGUGAAAUCCUGGAGCUCAACUCCAGAACUGCCUUCGAUACUGGCGAUCUUGAGUCCGGAAGAGGUGAGUGGAACUCCUAGUGUAGAGGUGGAAUUCGUAGAUAUUAGGAAGAACACCAGUGGCGAAGGCGGCUCACUGGUCCGGUACUGGACGCUGAGGUGCG